Molecule: ribosomal RNA, 775 nt
Filed under: uncultured Neocallimastigales
Lineage: Eukaryota; Fungi; Neocallimastigomycota; Neocallimastigomycetes; Neocallimastigales
Description: partial large subunit ribosomal RNA
Rfam family: Eukaryotic large subunit ribosomal RNA
Source: RNAcentral
AGAGAGAGACAUGCGCGCAUAUCAAUAAGCGGAGGAAAAGAAACUAACAAGGAUUCCCCUAGUAACGGCGAGUGAAGCGGGAAGAGCUCAAAUUUGAAAUCUUAAAGGGUUUCCCUUUACGAAUUGUAGUUUAAAGAAGUGUUUUCUGUUGAGGUUUUGGUAAAAGUUCCUUGGAAUAGGACAUCAUAGAGGGUGAGAAUCCCGUAUUUGACCUUUACUUUCAACUUUGUGAUACACUUUCAAAGAGUCGGAUUGUUUGGGAAUGCAGUCCAAAAUGGGUGGUAAAUUUCAUCUAAAGCUAAAUAUUGGCGAGAGACCGAUAGCGAACAAGUACCGUGAGGGAAAGAUGAAAAGAACUUUGAAAAGAGAGUUAAACAGUACGUGAAAUUGUCAAAAGGGAAGCGUUUGACACCAGUGUUGCUUUUCUGAAAAUCAAUUAAAGAACUGUUUAUGCUAAGCUGUUUAGACUUUAUCAGCUAAUCUGUUUAGUUUUGAGCUUUUCUUUAAUGCACUUUUCAGUUAACAAGUCAACAUCAAUUUCUUUUGCUGUAAAAAAGCUUGAGGAAGGUGGCUUGAGAUUCGUCUUAAGUGUUUAUAGCCUCUUGCCUAUGCAGUCGGAGAGAUUGAGGUCUGCAGCGUAGAUCCUUCGGGGCUAAAUGCAUUUGUGCUAAGUUAUAGCAUUUUAUAGACAACUUGUUGACUAUGAUUUGUCUUGUAGCUUACUCGCUUAUGUUAUUUUACCUACGCUUAGGAUGUUGACGCAUGAGAUAUACGC